RNAcentral lists this ribosomal RNA (250 nucleotides) under uncultured bacterium. Its description in RNAcentral is "partial 16S ribosomal RNA". It matches the Rfam family "Bacterial small subunit ribosomal RNA", at positions 355 to 602 of the family's 1533-position model. The record is from RNAcentral.
UGAGGAAUAUUGGUCAAUGGGCGAGAGCCUGAACCAGCCAAGUAGCGUGAGGGAUGACUGCCCUACGGGUUGUAAACCUCUUUUAUAAGGGAAUAAAAUGAAGUACGCGUACUUCUUUGCAUGUACCUUAUGAAUAAGCAUCGGCUAACUCCGUGCCAGCAGCCGCGGUAAUACGGAGGAUGCGAGCGUUAUCCGGAUUUAUUGGGUUUAAAGGGAGCGCAGACGGGACUUUAAGUCAGCUGUGAAAUUU